Molecule: transfer RNA, 87 nt
Filed under: Cordylochernes scorpioides
Lineage: Eukaryota; Metazoa; Arthropoda; Arachnida; Pseudoscorpiones; Chernetidae
Description: tRNA-Tyr
Rfam family: tRNA
About the family: Transfer RNA (tRNA) molecules are approximately 80 nucleotides in length. Their secondary structure includes four short double-helical elements and three loops (D, anti-codon, and T loops).
Source: RNAcentral
CCCUCGAUAGCUCAGUUGGCAGAGUGGAGGACUGUAGAUGUUACAACGGUGAUCCUUAGGUCGAUGGUUCAAAUCCGGCUCGAGGGA